CGUGCGUUUACCCAGUGAGUUCCCUGCGAAUUGUAACGAAACUCGCGGUUACAAACUCUUUAAGAUUAAGUCAAUAGAUAGCGUUGUCGGCGAUAGAUUUCCCUCUCCAGUAAGUAAGAGUCCCUGGUAGGAAUAGCAAUUAUCGUGCUCUUCCCUUUCGUCAAUUGACCGUCGUGUAAGCAAGGCGUGUGCUAAGUGCGAUCAAAGGCGACAGGGUUUCUAAAUGAGGACCUAAAUUCUUUAUAAAACGAUAAAACUGGAUAACAGAUGAUAAGUUGACGAAGCGCUUGGAGGAAGUCGAUCACUUAACAACAAAAUCUACCAUGUAAAACCACCUGUAUAUUAUAAAACUGUUGAGUCGUUACGAACCGAACUAGGACUCAAAUAAGGAGACUAAACCGGUGGACACCGUCAUCAUUAUCCAGACAGAUAAGAAAUAUUAAUUAUAAUCGGUUCCUAUAAGAUUGACUUUAGUGUAUAAUUUAUUAGUUCUAUUUCAAUGUUUUUUUUUUAUGAGUACGUUUAAUUUCGUAAUUUUAUAAAUUGAAUGGGUUAUAAAUGAACGUGGAAUUAAUAUCAUGGUUAAAAUUUUAA
Long non-coding RNA from Cephus cinctus (wheat stem sawfly), 594 nucleotides. RefSeq lists it as uncharacterized. The transcript has 2 exons. NCBI's taxonomy places the organism in Eukaryota, Metazoa, Arthropoda, Insecta, Hymenoptera, Cephidae. The record is from RefSeq and is a predicted model, not a curated record.